Molecule: ribosomal RNA, 301 nt
Filed under: uncultured bacterium
Lineage: Bacteria
Description: partial 16S ribosomal RNA
Rfam family: Bacterial small subunit ribosomal RNA
Source: RNAcentral
CAGUAGCGCGGGAAUACGAAGGGUGCAAGCGUUAAUCGGAAUUACUGGGCGUAAAGCGUGCGUAGGCGGUUUGUUAAGUCUGCUGUGAAAUCCCCGGGCUCAACCUGGGAAUGGCAGUGGAUACUGGCAAGCUAGAGUGUGUCAGAGGAUGGUGGAAUUCCCGGUGUAGCGGUGAAAUGCGUAGAGAUCGGGAGGAACAUCAGUGGCGAAGGCGGCCAUCUGGGACAACACUGACGCUGAGGCACGAAAGCGUGGGGAGCAAACAGGAUUAGAUACCCCCGUAGUCCCUGUCUCUUAUACA